GUAGUCGUAGCUCAGUGGUUAAGCUGUUUGACUACUUAUCAGAAGGUCAUGAGGUCAAACCCCAGCACUGCU
Non-coding RNA from Ameiurus melas (black bullhead), 72 nucleotides. The record is from the annotation of a GenBank genome assembly. NCBI's taxonomy places the organism in Eukaryota, Metazoa, Chordata, Actinopteri, Siluriformes, Ictaluridae.